GAUGAAGAACGUAGCGAAAUGCGAUACUUGGUGUGAAUUGCAGAAUCCCGUGAACCAUCGAGUCUUUGAACGCAAGUUGCGCCCGAAGCCAUUAGGCCGAGGGCACGCCUGCCUGGGCGUCACACGUCGUUGCCCCCCCAUCUACUCCUUCGGGAUUGCGGGGGGCGGAUGAUGGCCUCCCGUGCGCCUCGUCGCGCGGUUGGCAUAAAUGCCAAGUCCUCGGCGACGCACGCCACGACAAUCGGUGGUUGCGAAACCUCGGUUGCCCGUCGUGUGCGGUCGUCGCGCAUCGAGGGCUCUAAAAAAUUGCCGAGCUCUGUUUCGGCUUUCAACGCGACCCCAGGUCAGGCGGGGUUACCCGCUGAAUUUAAGCAUAUCAAUAAGCGGAGGA
Molecule: unclassified non-coding RNA, 391 nt
Filed under: soil metagenome
Description: partial contains 5.8S ribosomal RNA, internal transcribed spacer 2, and large subunit ribosomal RNA
Rfam family: 5.8S ribosomal RNA (bases 1-122)
Source: RNAcentral